Non-coding RNA from Prunus avium (sweet cherry), 1970 nucleotides. The record is from RefSeq and is a predicted model, not a curated record. Lineage: Eukaryota; Viridiplantae; Streptophyta; Magnoliopsida; Rosales; Rosaceae.
CUCCAAUCUCAGACCCAAAAAAAAGGAACCCUAAAAUUUCUCUCUGUAUCUCCAAACUCACACAGAACUUGGCGCCUACUCUAAGUUCGUUAGUUUGUUGCUUAUAACAUGUGUACUUUACCCGGUCACCAUUUUCAUUCUCUCAAAACUCACUGAGCUCCAAGAAAACCAAGAAGUUCAUCUAUUUCUGCCACUUGAUGCCUCAGAGACCCCAGUUCACCUACUAGAAAUUCCAGAGGACAUAUUUCAAUAUAUAUGCCGGAAACUAUCAUUGGGUACACUCCUGCGAUGCAGGAGAUUGUCAAGGGCAUUCCUUUUGAAACUCUCUAAAAUCGACCUCGGUUUAGACACCCUGCUGCUAGUACGUAUACCAGGUAAUAGGAAUUAUGAAGGGAUAUACCCCCAUAGGGAGGCUUUCACCUCUUCGGAUUCGAGCAUAUCACUCCCUUGAAAAUUGAGGGUCAAGUUCGCUGAGAAUUGGAGCAUUUCAGCCCCAUACAAAUUGAGAGUCAAGUUCGUUCAUUUCCCACAAUCGGGUCUGUCCUGAUUUUGGAGUCAGAUAUUUCGGGUUCAUCAAGGGGCUUACUGUGUGCAAGGAGUGUAAAAUAAGUACAAUGUUUGGAACCCCCUCAUUGGAGGAUCCAUAAGCUCUCCAGCAAUCCCGAGGAAGUACACGGAUCCUCCAAUGAGGGGUUUCAAACAUUGUACUUAUUUCCACUCCUUGCACACAGUAAGCCCCUUGAUGAACCCAAAAUAUCUGACUCCAAAAUCAGGACAGACCCGAUUGUGGGCAAUGAGCGAACUUGACUCUCAAUAUGUAUGAGACUGAAAUGCUCCAAUUCUCGGCGAACUUGAUCCUCAAUUUUCACGGGAGUGAUAUGCUCGAAUUCGACAAGGUGAAGGCCUCCCCAUGGGGGUAUAUCCCUUCAUAAUUCCUGUUAUCUGGUGCAUAUACUAGUAGCAAGGUGUCUAAACUGAGGUCGGUUUUAGAGACCCUGAAAAUGAAACUGUUUCCUGGCAUCUCAACCCAAAUGGGGGAACCAGUGGGUUAAAGACUUUUCAAUUCAGUCUAUACUUCCUCCUCGGCUUGUGAAGGUGAUGACAGAAAAUCAGAUACUCAUCAUGCAUGAAGGCAACUUGAAAUCCUACUUGCCUCACUGGAAAAUCAUCCUAAAGGUUCCUCUCCAUCACAUCCAUGAAUACCUGGAGGAGUGCUCCAACCAAAUUUGGUGUCAGCACAUUCACUGAUGGAGAAUCAAAUUCCAACUGAACCGCCUGAGAUAGCCACUAUUUAAUUCCUUUGCACUGAAAAAUAAAGCAUAUGAUUUGAUGUGCUUGGGUGUUGAAUGAGUUCACUCAUGGAAAACAACAAAAAGUGAGCAAGACUGAGAACAAAGAGGCUGUUUCAGAUAUUCUAUUAGGCAUGGCCGCUGGUUUGAAGAGAGACCCUAUUGUGAUCCUCCGUAUUGAUGGAGAAGAUCUCGACAAAUUCAUCAAUGGGCCAAUUUUUGAACCAGAGAUGGUAGCCACGUAUUCUGAGAUAAAGUCAGCUGAUGGAAGUUUAACCCUCCGUGACUAUAUAGCCAAAGCUUUGGAAAAACUCACGGUUGAGCAAGGGAUGCCCCCUUCAUCAGACUCUUGGGUAAUGAGGAACAUCGUGGUUGUGAAAAAAACGAAAAAUAAAUAAAAAUCUUGGAGGUUUAUGCUGGUGCAGGGCCACCAAUAAAACGCAGAAAGCGACAUCGGAGAAAGCAUUUCCAAAACCAAGAACCAUGUCUAAUGAGAGGUGUCUAUUUCAAAAAUAUGAAGUGGCAAGCAGCUAUAAAACAAAUCCACUUGGGCACUGUUGGUUCACAAGAGGAGGCUGCUCGUUUGUAUGACAGGGCUGCUUUCAUGCGUGGGAGGGAACCAAAUUUCGAGCUUUCUGAAGAGGAGAAGCAAGAACUCAGGAAAUUCAAGCGGGAUGAAUU